GAUGAACGCUGGCGGCGUGCCUAAUACAUGCAAGUCGAGCGAACGGACGAGAAGCUUGCUUCUCUGAUGUUAGCGGCGGACGGGUGAGUAACACGUGGAUAACCUACCUAUAAGACUGGGAUAACUUCGGGAAACCGGAGCUAAUACCGGAUAAUAUUUUGAACCGCAUGGUUCAAAAGUGAAAGACGGUCUUGCUGUCACUUAUAGAUGGAUCCGCGCUGCAUUAGCUAGUUGGUAAGGUAACGGCUUACCAAGGCAACGAUGCAUAGCCGACCUGAGAGGGUGAUAGGCCACACGGGAAGUGGAACAGGGUCCAGACUCCUACGGGAGGCAGCAGUAGGGAAUCUUCCGCAGAGGGCGAAAGCCUGACGGAGCAACGCCGCGUGAGUGAUGAAGGUCUUCGGAUCGUAAAACUCUGUUAUUAGGGAAGAACAUAUGUGUAAGUAACUGUGCACAUCUUGACGGUACCUAAUCAGAAAGCCACGGCUAACUACGUG
Molecule: ribosomal RNA, 497 nt
Filed under: uncultured bacterium
Lineage: Bacteria
Description: partial 16S ribosomal RNA
Rfam family: Bacterial small subunit ribosomal RNA
Source: RNAcentral